This is a non-coding RNA of Populus trichocarpa (black cottonwood), 156 nucleotides long. NCBI's taxonomy places the organism in Eukaryota, Viridiplantae, Streptophyta, Magnoliopsida, Malpighiales, Salicaceae. The record is from Rfam.
UCUAGAACUCGAGAUAUGGGCUGAACAUUAAACAGUGUCUGGGCUGCAGGACAAAUUCUAACUUUUCUGUUGUUGCUACAAUUUGAACUUGAAAACAGUCCUUUUGAAUCUUGGACUCUGCAUGAAAAUUUUAGGCCUAUGUCUUAGCUUUCUAUC